This 85-nucleotide ribosomal RNA is filed under the name Paenibacillus pectinilyticus. RNAcentral describes it as "partial 23S ribosomal RNA". It matches the Rfam family "Bacterial large subunit ribosomal RNA", at positions 2843 to 2925 of the family's 2925-position model. Lineage: Bacteria; Bacillati; Bacillota; Bacilli; Caryophanales; Paenibacillaceae. The record is from RNAcentral.
GACGACGAGGUUGAUAGGUUCGAGGUGGAAGUGCGGUAACGUAUGCAGCUGACGAAUACUAAUCGGUCGAGGGCUUAACCAUAUA